RNAcentral lists this ribosomal RNA (253 nucleotides) under uncultured bacterium. RNAcentral describes it as "partial 16S ribosomal RNA". It matches the Rfam family "Bacterial small subunit ribosomal RNA", at positions 524 to 776 of the family's 1533-position model. The record is from RNAcentral.
UACGUAGGUGACCAGCGUUGUCCGGAUUUCCUGGGCGUAAAGAGCGCGCAGGCGGUCGUUCAAGUCGAGUGUGAAAGCCCCCGGCUCAACUGGGGAGGGUCACUUGAUACUGAUCGACUCGAAGGCAGGAGAGGGAAGCGGAAUUCCCGGUGUAGUGGUGAAAUGCGUAGAUAUCGGGAGGAACACCAGUGGCGAAGGCGGCUUCCUGGCCUGUUCUUGACGCUGAGGCGCGAAAGCUAGGGGAGCAAACGGG